GCCAAAAACCUAGCCCAAAUGACAUGAAUUUUAUUAAACUAAUUCCCCAUUUUUAAUAAACCAUUCUAAUAUUCUAGUAGAGGAGAUUGAAAAAUUUAUUGGAGCUAUAACAGUAGUACCGCAAGGGAAAGGUGAAAUAUAAAAUGAAAAAUUUUUAAGCAAUAAAAAGUAAAGAUUACCCCUUGUACCUUUCGCAUCAUGGUUUAACUAGUUUAAUCAAGCAAAACGUAUUUAAGUUUGACUUCCCGAAACUAAGUGAGCUACUUCAGGGCAGCUGAAAGAGCAAACCCGUCUCUGUAGCAAAAGAGUGGGAUGACCUUCAAGUAGCGGUGACAGACCUAACGAACUUAGUGAUAGCUGGUUACUCAAGAAACGGAUUUAAGUCCAACCUGAAACUCAUCAAUCAAGUUUACCAAAACAACUACCUGACCUUCAGUGUAAUUCAAAUAAGGUACAGCCUAUUUGAAACAGGAUACAACCUAGACUAAUGGAUAAGACUGGCUUAAUUCACAAUUAAGUGGGCCUAAAAGCAGCCAUCUUCUAAAAAGCGUCAAAGCUUUAUUGUUUUAAUGCCUAAUUUCACAAACAUUCUCUUAAUCCUCUAAUAGUACUGAGUACUUUUAUAUAUCUAUAAAAAAUUUUAUGUUAAAACUAGUAACAAGAAGAAGACCUUCUCUUAAAUGUAAGUGUAUAUCAGAAAGGACAAACCACUGAUCUUUAACAUUUCUGAACUUAAAGUGGAAACUCACCAAGAAAACCCUACUUUCACCUAUGUUAACCUAACACAAGAACAUUUCAAGAAAGAUUAAAAGAAAAAGAAGGAACUCGGCAAAUAUUAACCUCGCCUGUUUACCAAAAACAUCGCCUCUUGUUGUAAUUAUAAGAGGUCCAGCCUGCCCAGUGACUCUGUUCAACGGCCGCGGUAUCCUAACCGUGCGAAGGUAGCGUAAUCACUUGUUCUUUAAAUGAGGACUAGUAUGAAUGGCACCACGAAGGUUACACUGUCUCCUUUUUUUAAUCAGUGAAACUAAUCUCCCCGUGAAGAAGCGGGGAUAAAACUAUAAGACGAGAAGACCCUAUGGAGCUUUAAACAACACAGCAUUUGUCUAAAAUAUUUAAACAUUUCAGAAUACUUUAACUUCUAUAAACAAUUAUAACUGUAAGUUUUCGGUUGGGGUGACCACGGAGCAUAAUACAACCUCCAUGUUGAAAGAAACAUUUCUAAAUUAAGAACCACCAGUCAAAGCAUCAACAUAUUGACAUCCAUUGACCCAAUAUACUUGACCAACGAACCAAGUUACCCUAGGGAUAACAGCGCAAUCCACUUCAAGAGCCCCUAUCGACAAGUGGGUUUACGACCUCGAUGUUGGAUCAGGGUAUCCCAGUGGUGCAGCCGCUACUAAAGGUUCGUUUGUUCAACGAUUAAAACCCUACGUGAUCUGAGU
This 1445-nucleotide ribosomal RNA is filed under the name Rhinella veraguensis (Veragua toad). RNAcentral's name for it is "partial 16S ribosomal RNA". It matches the Rfam family "Bacterial large subunit ribosomal RNA", at positions 23 to 2610 of the family's 2925-position model. Lineage: Eukaryota; Metazoa; Chordata; Amphibia; Anura; Bufonidae. The record is from RNAcentral.